Molecule: ribosomal RNA, 468 nt
Filed under: uncultured bacterium
Lineage: Bacteria
Description: partial 16S ribosomal RNA
Rfam family: Bacterial small subunit ribosomal RNA
Source: RNAcentral
GACGAACGCUGGCGGCGUGCUUAACACAUGCAAGUCGAACGGAAAGGCCCUGCUUUUGUGGGGUGCUCGAGUGGCGAACGGGUGAGUAACACGUGAGUAACCUGCCCUUGACUUUGGGAUAACUUCAGGAAACUGGGGCUAAUACCGGAUAGGAGCUCCUGCUGCAUGGUGGGGGUUGGAAAGUUUCGGCGGUUGGGGAUGGACUGGCGGCUUAUCAGCUUGUUGGUGGGGUAGUGGCUUACCAAGGCUUUGACGGGUAGCCGGCCUGAGAGGGUGACCGGCCACAUUGGGACUGAGAUACGGCCCAGACGCCUACGGGAGGCAGCAGUGGGGAAUAUUGCACAAUGGGCGGAAGCCUGAUGCAGCAGCGCCGCGUGCGGGAUGACGUCCUUCGGGUCGUAAACCGCUUUCGCCUGUGACGAAGCGUGAGUGACGGUAAUGGGUAAAGAAGCACCGGCUAACUACGUG